This is a long non-coding RNA of Tachyglossus aculeatus (Australian echidna), 682 nucleotides long. RefSeq lists it as uncharacterized. NCBI's taxonomy places the organism in Eukaryota, Metazoa, Chordata, Mammalia, Monotremata, Tachyglossidae. The record is from RefSeq and is a predicted model, not a curated record. The transcript has 3 exons.
UAAAGGGAGAUGAAGAAGCUGACCCUUACCGUAAGUUUCCAAGGGAAAUUUACCUCAGGUCUCCUUAAAAAGAAUGAAUAAAAAGUCUUCAGACAAGGUUCCCCGGUUUAGGACAGUUCACUCGCCUGACUGUCGGGAUUGGGUUAAUAUUCCAUGUUGAGGUUUGGAUUCGUCAAAGAAGAGAGAGCAAAGAAAAGUCUUGCAAAUCCUCUAAAGGUGUGAUUCUGAAGGUGAUCUGGACAAGGAAUCCCCCUGUACUUCCUGGAAACGGUGGUCUAGACUGUGCUCUAACCCAGGUGGAUCUUUUUCAGAGACUUCAUCUGCCGACUUCUGGGAGCGCCCCAUCCACCAAGCAUCCACACAGCUGCGGAGCUGCGGUCUCAGAUGUCAGCGGAAGCCUACGCACGGAAGCGACGGCAGGCUGAAUUCCAAAACUCCAGUUGGCUUGGCUUCUCCCAGACUAUUGGAGGAAUGAAGGCUGCAGUGAGAGAAGACUUUCGCUCCAGAUCAUGCGGCAAGAGAUGGACAAAGAAACCGGCAGUGCCCCCUCCAGCCGAGGAUCCAGGAGAUGAGGAGAAGCACCAGAGCAGCAAGGAAGAGGCCUGACUGUCCCGACCACCCCGGCACCCACCAAAGCCGAACCUGAACCGAGCCGGCCAGGGAGAUCAGGGUAGCCGUCGGG